RNAcentral lists this long non-coding RNA (413 nucleotides) under Elaeis guineensis (African oil palm). RNAcentral's name for it is "long non-coding RNA (EGUI_LNC047174)". The record is from RNAcentral. Lineage: Eukaryota; Viridiplantae; Streptophyta; Magnoliopsida; Arecales; Arecaceae.
CUUGCCAAUAAUAGUCAACUUCUCAACUAGAAGUAAUAUCAUAGUAUUAUUCUCACAUCGAAUUUGAACUUACGAUUCACUUGAAUAACCAAUGAUCAAAUUAAUAACCAUAAUGCACAAUAAAAUUUUAUGUCAAUUCUUUUGUAAUUACUUUCAAUCAAAAUCUAACUAAUCAUAUCAUGAUCAAUAGAUCAUCCAUCAUAUUUCAAAUUCUAUAUGUCAUAAUCUCUUGCGAUCCUUUCAUACAUAAUCUUAGUAUUUAACCAAAAGUUCAUAAAGAUUUUUCCCACUACAAUCAUCAAAGAUCUACACCAUAAUAUCCUUAGUGUCUAUCUACUAACACUCCUUCUAUACACAUCUUAGUUCAUCUACUAACGCUCUGAUACCAUAUUAAUUGUCACGCCCCCGACCCA